RNAcentral lists this long non-coding RNA (282 nucleotides) under Heterocephalus glaber (naked mole-rat). RNAcentral's name for it is "lncRNA (ENSHGLG00100050025.1)". The record is from RNAcentral. Lineage: Eukaryota; Metazoa; Chordata; Mammalia; Rodentia; Bathyergidae.
CAACAACAGAUUCCAAGAGCUGCACAUAAGUCACCUUUGCACUUGCUGAGCCCACACGGUCAUUUCUGCAGACAGAUCUAAGGCCCUUUGUAUACUGUAAGGACAUGGAAGGUGCUGCUGGGAGCCCAGGCUGGCCACAGCAGGCUGUCAACCUCAACGAGGAAGAAGGGACACCUGAGAACCUUCAAAGGCGACACUGGAAUCCCGGUGGGACAAGCUCCCUCUGCACUUCCCAGACCCUGCUGUGUGUGUCUGUGUGCACAUAUUACCUGCCUGUUCCUA